This 228-nucleotide ribosomal RNA is filed under the name uncultured bacterium. RNAcentral describes it as "partial 16S ribosomal RNA". It matches the Rfam family "Bacterial small subunit ribosomal RNA", at positions 568 to 795 of the family's 1533-position model. The record is from RNAcentral.
UGCGUAGGCGGUUAGAUAAGUCAGAGGUGAAAGCCCGCAGCUCAACUGUGGAAUUGCCUUUGAUACUGUUUGACUUGAAUCAAGUUGAGGUUGGCGGAAUGUGACAUGUAGCGGUGAAAUGCAUAGAUAUGUCAUAGAACACCAAUUGCGAAGGCAGCUAACUAGACUUGUAUUGACGCUGAGGCACGAAAGCGUGGGGAGCGAACAGGAUUAGAUACCCUGGUAGUC